This 857-nucleotide ribosomal RNA is filed under the name uncultured Alphaproteobacteria bacterium. Its description in RNAcentral is "bacterial SSU rRNA". It matches the Rfam family "Bacterial small subunit ribosomal RNA", at positions 9 to 918 of the family's 1533-position model. The record is from RNAcentral. Lineage: Bacteria; Pseudomonadati; Pseudomonadota; Alphaproteobacteria.
GAGUUUGAUCCUGGCUCAGAACGAACGCUGGCGGCAUGCUUAACACAUGAAGUCGAACGAAUUUUAAGUCUUCGGAUUUAAGGUUAGUGGCAGACGGGGAGUAACGCGUGGGAACGUACCCUUUAGUUCGGAAUAACUACGGGAAACGUAGCUAAUACCGGAUACGCCCUUUGGGGGAAAGAUUUAUUGCUAAAGGACGGCCCGCGUUAGAUUAGGUAGUUGGUGGGGUAAAGGCCCACCAAGCCACGAUCUAUAGCUGGUCUGAGAGGAUGAUCAGCCACACUGGGACUGAGAACGGCCCAGACUCCUACGGGAGGCAGCAGUGGGGAAUAUUGGACAAUGGGGCAACCCUGAUCCAGCAAUGCCGCGUGAGUGAUGAAGGCCUUCGGGUUUAAAGCUCUUUUGUUAGGGAAGAUAAUGACGGUACCUAACGAAUAAGCACGGCUAACUUCGUGCCAGCAGCCGCGGUAAUACGAAGGGUGCUAGCGUUUUCGGAAUUACUGGGCGUAAAGGGCGCGUAGGCGGUUAUGUAAGUCAGAGUGAAAGCCUUGGGCUUAACCUAAGAAUUGCAUUUGAUACUGCAUUGACAGAGAUCGAGAGAGGAAAGUGGAAUUACGAGUGUAGAGGUGAAAUUCGUGAUAUUCGUAAGAACAUCGGUGGCGAAGGCGGCUUUCUGGCUCGAUACUACGCUAAGGCGCGAAAGCGUGGGGAGCAAACAGGAUUAGAUACCCUGGUGUCCACGCUGUAAACGAUGAGUGCUAGAUGCUGGGUCUUACAGAUUCGGGUCGCAGCUAACGCAUUAAGCACUCCGCCUGGGGAGUACGGUCGCAAGAUAAAACUCAAAUGAUUUGACGGGG